GUGGGGAAUAUUGGGCAAUGGGCGAAAGCCUGACCCAGCAACGCCGCGUGAAGGAAGAAGGUCUUCGGAUCGUAAACUUCUAUCCUUGGUGAAGAUAAUGACGGUAGCCAAGAAGGAAGCCCCGGCUAACUACGUGCCAGCAGCCGCGGUAAUACGUAGGGGGCAAGCGUUGUCCGGAAUGAUUGGGCGUAAAGGGCGCGUAGGCGGCCUGGUAAGUCUGGAGUGAAAGUCCUGCUUUUAAGGUGGGAAUUGCUUUGGAUACUGUCGGGCUUGAGUGCAGGAGAGGUAAGCGGAAUUCCCGGUGUAGCGGUGAAAUGCGUAGAGAUCGGGAGGAACACCAGUGGCGAAGGCGGCUUACUGGACUGUAACUGACGCUGAGGCGCGAAAGUGUGGGGAGCAAACAGGAUUAGAAACCCCGGUAGUCC
This 425-nucleotide ribosomal RNA is filed under the name uncultured bacterium. RNAcentral's name for it is "partial 16S ribosomal RNA". It matches the Rfam family "Bacterial small subunit ribosomal RNA", at positions 354 to 796 of the family's 1533-position model. The record is from RNAcentral.